RNAcentral lists this ribosomal RNA (497 nucleotides) under uncultured bacterium. RNAcentral's name for it is "partial 16S ribosomal RNA". It matches the Rfam family "Bacterial small subunit ribosomal RNA", at positions 28 to 507 of the family's 1533-position model. The record is from RNAcentral.
GAUGAACGCUGGCGGCGUGCCUAAUACAUGCAAGUCGAGCGAACAGACGAGGAGCUUGCUCCUCUGACGUUAGCGGCUGACGGGUGAGUAACACGUGGAUAACCUACCUAUAAGACGUGGAUAACUUCGGGAAACCGGAGCUAAUACCGGAUAAUAUAUUGAACCGCAUGGUUCAAUAGUUAAAGACGGUUUUGCUGUCACUUAUAGAUGGAUCCGCGCCGCAUUAGCUAGUUGGUAAGGUAACGGCUUACCAAGGCAACGAUGCGUAGCCGACCUGAGAGGGUGAUCGGCCACACUGGAACUGAGACACGGUCCAGACUCCUACGGGAGGCAGCAGUAGGGAAUCUUCCGCAAUGGGCGAAAGCCUGACGGAGCAACGCCGCGUGAGUGAUGAAGGUCUUCGGAUCGUAAAACUCUGUUAUUAGGGAAGAACAACUGUGUAAGUAACUAUGCACGUCUUGACGGUACCUAAUCAGAAAGCCCCGGCUAACUACGUG